GUGCUUGCUUCAGCAAUACAUAUACUAAAAACUGUAACAAUACAGAGAUUAGCAUGGCCCCUGUGCAAGAAUGACAAGCAAAUUCAUGAAGUGUUACAUAUUUAA
Small nuclear RNA from Sciurus vulgaris (Eurasian red squirrel), 105 nucleotides. NCBI's taxonomy places the organism in Eukaryota, Metazoa, Chordata, Mammalia, Rodentia, Sciuridae. The record is from Ensembl.